GUUAGACUUGAUCUACACUAUUAAAUUAUUUGAAAAUUAAAUUUCAUAAUUUUUCGACAUCAUUUACCUAGCUAUCGAAUGAGUAGUCUAAAAAUAAAUAGCUGAAAAUAAAAAUCUCAUAAAAAAUGAUGAUAAAAGACUUGAAUUUAAGAUCAGAAGUAUUGAUCUUACUCUAAAUAGUGAAAAAAAAAAUUCUAUAAAAAUUUCAUCAGAUUUGAAUUGUUUUACAUCGUUAAAUUCACAAGCGCAUCACAUCGACCAUUAUCAUUUGAAUACAACAACGGAAAACCAAC
This 293-nucleotide long non-coding RNA is filed under the name Ananas comosus (pineapple). Its description in RNAcentral is "long non-coding RNA (ACOM_LNC021365)". The record is from RNAcentral. Lineage: Eukaryota; Viridiplantae; Streptophyta; Magnoliopsida; Poales; Bromeliaceae.